RNAcentral lists this long non-coding RNA (1335 nucleotides) under Homo sapiens (human). RNAcentral describes it as "HSALNT0010882". The record is from RNAcentral. Lineage: Eukaryota; Metazoa; Chordata; Mammalia; Primates; Hominidae.
UUUCUUUCCAAAGCUAAAACCUCUCUGGCAACAGAGAACCCGACUGUUAUGGAUUCAGCAGUUGACGGUUGACCUCCAGCAGGUCUGGGCUUGAUGUUCACCGAUUUUCCCUCAGCUCCGACUGUGGCUCCUCUCAGCUGACUCUGACCCUGCUCUCAGCCGGGCUGCAUCUGCCCAUCUCAGCACAUCAAUAAACAGCAGAGGGAAACUACCACCUUGGAAGGAGCCAGGCAGUUUCUGCUGGGUAGGCCGCAGCCUGGAACAUGGAAGUAGCUUCUUCCAUCCUACACUGGAAACCACCCAGCAUCCCGGGCCCUCCAGAGAAGAGCCAGACUCCCUUCCCUGGGAAGAGACUAUAGUCCUAUCUGUAUCCUCCGUGGUCAUUGCCCCUCAGUCACAGCAAUGAAGAGCAAAUUACCUGUUUUCUGUAUGUUCCUCUGACAACAACUGCCACAGAGUAAAUAUGAAAGGUUCUGGAUGAUUCCUUGUCAGCUUUUAUUAAAAUUCCACAUACUUGGCAUUUCUUAGCUAUCUGGGUUGACUCCUGGUUCCACCCCUUACUAGUUGCGUGACCUUGAAAAAGUGACUUACCUUCUCACAUUCUCAGUUUCCAUAUCUGUCAAGUGUAGGUAAAAGCACCAAACUGGUAGAGUUAUUUUGAGAAUUAUAUGAGUUCUGAGUGAGAGGGUGCUAAGACCUUGCUGGUUAGAGUGGUUUUUCAAUCCUGAUCACCUCCUUCUCCCUCUUAGCUUCUUUUCUCCUCCCCCUCCUGCUUCUAGUCUAGGCUUCUGGCAAUUUUGACGUAACAAAAGUGGGAUUCCUUCAUUCCUGACUUCAGAGCUUUUCCUUACUUCAGUAUUGCAUGAUAAUUCUCAAGCCUGUUCUUUACAUAAAUACAAAAAGGAGAAAGUGAAAUAGUAGAGGAACCGACCGAUUUGAAGGAGCUGCCACUAUUUGAUUCCUCCUGUUAGGACAUCUGAAUGACCCCAAGUUCCUGUUCUUGAGGCUGUUGUAUCAUAUUCUUAAAAGCUAUGCAUGCAUUCUGCUUUGAAUGUGUCCCUCAGCCUCAUUCUUCUCCACUUGCUGGGGGCCAUCCCGCCCCACGGGAAGGUAAGUUCAGGCUCAGAAGGAAAGACACGACAAAAAAAUCUUGCUUUUAUUUUUGUUGUCUAAAAUCAUGUUUCAUGCUCUUCUUUGAAUAAAAUCCAGGACUCCAGAGAUGACCUGUUACUUUUCUUUCAGCAAGUCUCUAAUUUGCCGAGGAGUAAACUUGUAAUGAAAAGAAACCAGAACUCCCCAAGGUAGCUCCCCCUCACAGUCAUUCCUCAAGGCAGG